UUCCAGACUCCUACGGGAGGCAGCAGUGGGGAAUAUUGCACAAUGGGGGCAACCCUGAUGCAGCGACGCCGCGUGAGCGAUGGAGUACUUCGGUAUGUAAAGCUCUGUCAGCAGGGAAGAGAAUGACGGUACCUGACCAAGAAGCCCCGGCUAAAUACGUGCCAGCAGCCGCGGUAAUACGUAGGGGGCAAGCGUUGUUCGGAAUGACUGGGCGUAAAGGGUGCGUAGGCGGUGUAGCAAGUUAGAAGUGAAAUACCUAGAGCUUAACUCAGGUGCUGCUUCUAAAACUGCUAUACUUGAGUGCAGUAGAGGAAAGUGGAAUUCCUAGUGUAGCGGUGGAAUGCGUAGAUAUUAGGAGGAACAUCAGUGGCGAAGGCGACUUUCUGGACUGUAACUGACGCUGAGGCACGAAAGUGUGGGGAGCAAACAGGAUUAGAUACCCGCGUA
Molecule: ribosomal RNA, 447 nt
Filed under: uncultured bacterium
Lineage: Bacteria
Description: partial 16S ribosomal RNA
Rfam family: Bacterial small subunit ribosomal RNA
Source: RNAcentral